This 815-nucleotide ribosomal RNA is filed under the name uncultured bacterium. Its description in RNAcentral is "bacterial SSU rRNA". It matches the Rfam family "Bacterial small subunit ribosomal RNA", at positions 335 to 1215 of the family's 1533-position model. The record is from RNAcentral.
ACUCCUACGGGAGGCAGCAAUUAGGAAUCGUUGACAAUGGGCGAAAGCCUGAUCACGCGACGCCGCGUGAAGGAUGACAGCCUUCGGGUUGUAAACUUCUGAAAAUAGCACCGGCUAACUACGUGCCAGCAGCAGCGGUCAUACGUGGGGUGCAAGCAUUGUCCGGAUUUAUUGGGCGUAAAGAGUUCUGUAGGCGGAUACGUAAGUCAAAGGUCAAAUCUUCCGGCUCAACCGGAAAACUGCUUUUGAUACUGCGUUUCUAGAGGAAGCUAGGGGAUAGCGGAACUUAUGGUGGAGCAGUGAAAUGCGUUGAUAUCAUAGGGAACACCAAGGGGGUAGCCAGCUAUCUGGGGCUUUCCUGACGCUGAGAGACGAAAGCGUGGGGAGCGAAACGGAUUAGAUACCCGUGUAGUCCACGCCGUAAACGAUGCCUGCUAGAUGCUUGGGUUCGCCUGAGUGUCGAAGCUAACGCGUUAAGCAGGCCGCCUGGGGAGUACGGUCGCAAGAUUAAAACUCAAAGGAAUUGGCGGGGACCCGCACAANCGGUGGAGCAUGCUCUUUAAUUGGCUGCUAACCCAAGGACCUUACCCAGACUUGACAUGUAACUGCAAACUCUAAGAAACUAGAGUCUCUUUCGAAGGUGUUACACAGGUGUUGCAUGGCUGUCGUCAGCUCGUACCGUGAGGCGUACCCUUAANUGGGUUAACGAGCGCAACCCUUACCGUUAGUUGUAUCACUCUAGCGGAACUGCCGUCGUAAGACGNANGAAGGUGGGGGNACGACGUCNANUCGGUAUUGNCUUUAUGUCUGGGGNC